GACGAACGCUGGCGGCGUGCUUAACACAUGCAAGUCGAACGGAAAGGCCCUGCUUUUGUGGGGUGCUCGAGUGGCGAACGGGUGAGUAACACGUGAGUAACCUGCCCUUGACUUUGGGAUAACUUCAGGAAACUGGGGCUAAUACCGGAUAGGAGCUCCUGCUGCAUGGUGGGGGUUGGAAAGUUUCGGCGGUUGGGGAUGGACUCGGGGCUUAUCAGCUUGUUGGUGGGGUAGUGGCUUACCAAGGCUUGGACGGGUAGCCGGCCUGGGAGGGUGACCGGCCAAAUUGGGACUGGGAGGCGGCCCAGGGGACUACGGGGGGAAGGAGUGGAGAAUGUUGCACAAGGGGCGGAAGCCUGAAGCAGGAACGCCGCGGGCGGGAGGACGGCGUUCGGGUUGUAAGCCGCUGUGGCCGGUAACGAAGCGUGGGUGACGGUAAUGAGUAGAGAAGCACCGGCUAACUACGU
RNAcentral lists this ribosomal RNA (467 nucleotides) under uncultured bacterium. RNAcentral's name for it is "partial 16S ribosomal RNA". It matches the Rfam family "Bacterial small subunit ribosomal RNA", at positions 28 to 506 of the family's 1533-position model. The record is from RNAcentral.